AGAGCGAACGCUGGCGGCAGGCCUAAUACAUGCAAGUCGAACGGAUCCUUCGGGAUUAGUGGCGGACGGGUGAGUAACACGUGGGAACGUGCCUUUUGGUUCGGAACAACUCAGGGAAACUUGAGCUAAUACCGAAUGUGCCCUUCGGGGGAAAGAUUUAUCGCCAUUAGAGCGGCCCGCGCCUGAUUAGCUAGUUGGUGGGGUAAUGGCCCACCAAGGCUACGAUCAGUAGCUGGUCUGAGAGGAUGAUCAGCCACACUGGGACUGAGACACGGCCCAGACUCCUACGGGAGGCAGCAGUAGGGAAUCUUGCGCAAUGGGCGAAAGCCUGACGCAGCCAUGCCGCGUGAAUGAUGAAGGUCUUAGGAUUGUAAAAUUCUUUCAGCGGGACGAUAAUGACGGUACCCGCAGAAGAAGCCCGGCUAACUUCGCGCCAGCAGCCGC
This 444-nucleotide ribosomal RNA is filed under the name uncultured bacterium. RNAcentral's name for it is "SSU rRNA". It matches the Rfam family "Bacterial small subunit ribosomal RNA", at positions 26 to 518 of the family's 1533-position model. The record is from RNAcentral.